GAUGAACGCUGGCGGCGUGCCUAAUACAUGCAAGUCGAGCGAACAGACGAGGAGCUUGCUCCUCUGACGUUAGCGGCGGACGGGUGAGUAACACGUGGAUAACCUACCUAUAAGACUGGGAUAACUUCGGGAAACCGUAGCUAAUACCGGAUAAUAUAUUGAACCGCAUGGUUCAAUAGUGAAAGACGGUUUUGCUGUCACUUAUAGAUGGAUCCGCGCUGCAUUAGCUAGUUGGUAAGGUAACGGCUUACCAAGGCAACGAUGCGUAGCCGACCUGAGAGGGUGAUCGGCCACACUGGAACUGGAACACGGUCCAAACUCCUACGGGAGGCAGCAGUAGGGAAUCUUCCGCAAUGGGCGAAAGCUUGACGGAGCAACGCCGCGUGGGGGAUGAAGGUCUUCGGAUCGUAAAACCUUUUUAAUAGGGAAGAACAAAUGUGGAAGUAACUAUGCACGUCUUGACGGUACCUUAUCAGAAAGCCACGGCUAACUACGUG
RNAcentral lists this ribosomal RNA (497 nucleotides) under uncultured bacterium. RNAcentral describes it as "partial 16S ribosomal RNA". It matches the Rfam family "Bacterial small subunit ribosomal RNA", at positions 28 to 507 of the family's 1533-position model. The record is from RNAcentral.